UCGUUUUCAAUCUCAGAAAUCACAAGUUUUAUCGAAUAUCUAUUGUUCUCAAACCUUGUAUGAUCAUUAAAGGUAUUUAUUUUUUAGACUGACCAAAUAUCAACCUUGCAGCUGGAACUCCCUACGAGAAUGGUGUUUUCCGCAUGAAAUUGAUAUUGUCUCAUGACUUCCCGCAUUCCCCUCCCAAAGGACUGCCAUUGGCUUCAACUACAACAUUCACCAAAGGGGGAAAUGGGCAGGAUCAGCCAGCCUCGGCCUUGAAUUCAACAACCGAGACCGGAGUUAGCAGUGACUCAGUGGCGGCACCACCACCAAGAGGAUCAGCAAUAUCCUCUACAUGUUUAUAUUUUUCCCUUUUGAAAGAUUUAUUGUUUGUUUUGAAUGCUUGGAUUUGGGCUGCCCUAUAAUCUCCAAAAGCGAAAGUUCUCAUUGUAGGCCUUUUUAAAUAAAUGGAAAAUAAUGGUGAAUUUUAGAUUUUA
This is a non-coding RNA of Camellia sinensis, 479 nucleotides long. NCBI's taxonomy places the organism in Eukaryota, Viridiplantae, Streptophyta, Magnoliopsida, Ericales, Theaceae. The record is from RefSeq and is a predicted model, not a curated record.